This 253-nucleotide ribosomal RNA is filed under the name uncultured bacterium. RNAcentral's name for it is "partial 16S ribosomal RNA". It matches the Rfam family "Bacterial small subunit ribosomal RNA", at positions 524 to 776 of the family's 1533-position model. The record is from RNAcentral.
UACGUAGGGUGCGAGCGUUGUCCGGAAUUAUUGGGCGUAAAGGGCUCGUAGGCGGUUUGUCGCGUCGGGAGUGAAAUCCACUGGCUUAACUGGUGGCUUGCUUUCGAUACGGGCAGACUGGAGGUAUGCAGGGGAGAACGGAAUUCCUGGUGUAGCGGUGAAAUUCGUAGAUAUUGGGAAGAACACCGAUGGCGAAGGCAGCCAUCUGGACCGACACUGACGCUGAGGCGCGAAAGCGUGGGGAGCAAACAGG